RNAcentral lists this transfer RNA (77 nucleotides) under Hyphomicrobiales bacterium. RNAcentral describes it as "Rhizobiales bacterium (beach sand metagenome) tRNA-Leu". It matches the Rfam family "tRNA". Rfam says of the family: Transfer RNA (tRNA) molecules are approximately 80 nucleotides in length. Their secondary structure includes four short double-helical elements and three loops (D, anti-codon, and T loops). The record is from RNAcentral. Lineage: Bacteria; Pseudomonadati; Pseudomonadota; Alphaproteobacteria; Hyphomicrobiales.
GCCCUGCUAGCCCAAAUGGUGGAGGCGUCUGCCUUAGAAGCAGAAGGUUCCCGGUUCGAAUCCGGGGCGGGGCACCA